GAAGAACCUUACCAGGUCUUGACAUACUCGUGCUAUUCCUAGAGAUAGGAAGUUCCUUCGGGACACGGGAUACAGGUGGUGCAUGGUUGUCGUCAGCCCGUGUCGUGAGAUGUUGGGUUAAGUCCGCAACGAGCGCAACCCCUAUUGUUAGUUGCCAUCAUUAAGUUGGGCACUCUAACGAGACUGCCGGUGAUAAACCGGAGGAAGGUGGGGAUGACGUCAAAUCAUCAUGCCCCUUAUGACCUGGGCUACACACGUGCUACAAUGGAUGGUACAACGAGUCGCGAGACAGUGAUGUUUAGCUAAUCUCUUAAAACCAUUCUCAGUUCGGAUUGUAGGCUGCAACUCGCCUACAUGAAGUCGGAAUCGCUAGUAAUCGCGGAUCAGCACGCCGCGGUGAAUACGUUCCCGGGCCUUGUACACACCGCCCGUCACACCACGGGAGUUGGGAGUACCCGAAGUAGGUUGCCUAACCGCAAGGAGGGCGCUUCCUAAGGUAAGACCGAUGACUGGGGUGAAGUCGUAACAAGGUAGGCGUAGCGAG
Molecule: ribosomal RNA, 544 nt
Filed under: uncultured bacterium
Lineage: Bacteria
Description: bacterial SSU rRNA
Rfam family: Bacterial small subunit ribosomal RNA
Source: RNAcentral